RNAcentral lists this ribosomal RNA (836 nucleotides) under uncultured bacterium. RNAcentral describes it as "bacterial SSU rRNA". It matches the Rfam family "Bacterial small subunit ribosomal RNA", at positions 34 to 887 of the family's 1533-position model. The record is from RNAcentral.
CGCUGGCGGCGUGCUUAACACAUGCAAGUCGAACGAUGAAGCCUUAGCUUGCUAAGGUGGAUUAGUGGCGCACGGGUGAGUAAUAUAUAGAUAACGUGCCUCUUAGUCUGGGAUAGCCAUUGGAAACGAUGAUUAAUACUAGAUACUCCUUCUCAUUAUAAUAUGAGUCGGGAAAGUUUUUCGCUAAGAGAUCGGUCUAUAUCCCAUCAGUUAGUUGGUAAGGUAACGGCUUACCAAGACAAUGACGGGUAGCGGGUUUGAGAGGAUGAUCCGCCACACUGGUACUGAGACACGGACCAGACUCCUACGGGAGGCAGCAGUGAGGAAUAUUGCACAAUGGGGGAAACCCUGAUGCAGCAACGCCGCGUGGAGGAUGACGCAUUUCGGUGUGUAAACUCCUUUUAUAGGUCAAGAAAAUGACGGUAGCCUAUGAAUAAGCACCGGCUAACUCCGUGCCAGCAGCCGCGGUAAUACGGAGGGUGCAAGCGUUAUUCGGAAUCACUGGGCGUAAAGGACACGUAGGCGGGAAGCCAAGUCUGAUGUGAAAUCCUAUGGCUUAACCAUAGAACUGCAUUGGAAACUGGUUACCUAGAGUAUGGGAGGGGGAGAUGGAAUUAGUGGUGUAGGGGGUAAAAUCCGUAGAUAUCACUAGGAAUACCUAAAGCGAARGCGAUCUCCUGGAACAUUACUGACGCUAAKGUGUGAAAGCGUGGGGAGCAAACGGGAUUAGAUACCCCGGUAGUCCACGCCCUAAACGAUGUUCACUAGUCGUCGGGAUGCUAGUCAUCUCGGUGAUGCACUUAACAGAUUAAGUGAACCGCCUGGGGAGUACGGUC